UACGAAGGGGGCUAGCGUUGCUCGCAAUCACUGGGCGUAAAGCGCACGUAGGCGGAUUGCUAAGUCAGGGGUGAAAUCCUGGAGCUCAACUCCAGAACUGCCCUUGAUACUGGCGGUCUCGAGUCCGGGAGAGGUGAGUGGAACUGCGAGUGUAGAGGUGAAAUUCGUAGAUAUUCGCAAGAACACCAGUGGCGAAGGCGGCUCACUGGCCCGGUACUGACGCUGAGGUGCGAGAGCGUGGGGAGUAAACAGG
Molecule: ribosomal RNA, 253 nt
Filed under: uncultured bacterium
Lineage: Bacteria
Description: partial 16S ribosomal RNA
Rfam family: Bacterial small subunit ribosomal RNA
Source: RNAcentral